Mercurialis annua (annual mercury) is the source of this 2135-nucleotide long non-coding RNA. RefSeq lists it as uncharacterized. NCBI's taxonomy places the organism in Eukaryota, Viridiplantae, Streptophyta, Magnoliopsida, Malpighiales, Euphorbiaceae. The record is from RefSeq and is a predicted model, not a curated record. The transcript has 3 exons.
AGUGGACUUUUAACCACAAACUUCCGGAGGAAGUUGUGUUUUACUCUAUUUUCUCAAGAUAAGAAAAUAAUAUCGGUAAAGUUGUUAUUGAUAGUCAUUAAAAUGAAAAUUGGACGAAAAAGUGAGAAAAAGUGCAAGUUAGCUCAAAAUGGAAAUUUGAGCGUUUUUGGCCAAAAUUGCCAAAAUAAAUUGUUGGAGGGUGAUAUUAUAAGGUAUGAUACUAUUGUUAUUUAUUUGGGAAAUAAAUAAUACGGAAUUUAUCGAGAAUCGAAUGAUUAAAGGAUUAGUGGACUAAAUUGGACGAAAUAAAAGUUAUAAAGUGAAAGUUGAGGAGGUGACAAACUCAAGGACUAAAGGAGACUUUUGCCUCACCUAUUUAAGACACUUGCAUAUGAGUUUAAACUCAGCAAGCAUAUCAUUUUCAGCUCCUAAAAUUCGUCCUUCACCCUUUCUCCAUGGAAGAACAUCAAGCAAAUUUCAAAUGGUCAUAACUCACUCAAUUUUGAUCCGAAUUGAGCGAUUCUUGUGGCCACGGAACGAGGGAAGGAUCCUCUACUGAUAUAUAGUAUCAAUUUAAGGUUAUUGAAAGCUUGAAGGGAGUAUUUUGAUGGUUGUUCAUGGAGGAAUUCAUUCAACCAAAGGGUUAUCCCAUCUAGAAAAGGUAUAAAUUCAGAAUUUUGGACUUUUGGUAAUGAAUUGAUUGAAUUGAGUGGAGUAUUGGUUAAGUUUGAAGUUGGAUUUUCUGGUUUGGUGUUGAAUUGAUGCUGUCUACAACUAGAAUUUUUCGAAAUACUUAGAAAUGUUUGUUUGAGCUGGAAUUUUUAUAUGUUCUGAGUAUAUGAGUUAAGUUGGUGUAUAAAAAAUUUCAGAAUUUUUCAUGUUUCUGAUAUUGAGAUAAAAAUUAAAUAGCACCUAGUGCUCUGUUUGCAAAUUGUGUAAGGCUGCUGCUGUAAGUUAAUUAUUUGAGGACCUUAAACACAUUAGUUUGGCCUAAUUUUUGGUAUACACUUAGAAAUAUAUGCUAUAUAAGUGCCAUAAAAUUUUUAGAGAAAAAUAUGGCUAUUUGAUAGGUUAAUUGAAUAAAUCUUUGGUUGUAGUCGGUGUAGGCAGCCGUGCUAUGCACAAAGAUGGUUAUGCGGAUAUGUGUAUUAUCAUAGAAAAGUGGAAAUAAAUGGUUUGAAAUGAAUUGAGUAAGUUGUUAAGAGAUGGCUUAAUCGAGGUGUCUGAAUUAUGUUGAGGUUAUAAUUCGGUAUCAAUAGUUAAUCUUGUUGCGUAAUAAGUUCUAAAUUGAAUUGACGUUUUGCAUAAAAUGUCUUGCAAACAGCGAUAUUGCAAGGGCAAUAUCUCGGGCUGUAUGAGUCCAAAUUAAGUUCCGUUUAUUGGUACGGAAACUUAAGGAUGUUAACUAUAAUUGUCUAAGUUUGAGUUUUUGUUGAAUCGGACUCUAGGAUGUUCAUUUUGGACAGAACAAAUUAUUGUGCAGUCUGCCCUGCACUUGUAAACAGCUCCCAGGAAAUAACUUAUGAGCUAGUUUUCGACACUUUCGGGUGCGUUUCAUGGUCCGAGACCUAAACGAAAGUUGAAGGCGACAUUCUAAACUUUAAGAAUGUCAAUUUUGUUUUGGGGUCGGACUAUUUUUAGAUAAGAGUUUUGUUAGCCGAAGUAGACUAGAAAAUUAGCUUUUUGAUAAAUUAAUUAUACUUAGAAAUUUUAUUAAUUCGUAGCGUUAUCGAAAUUGCGUAGACUCGAAGAAGCGACUAUCGAUAAGGCUCGAGGCGAAUGGAUCGAGAUAUCGUCGUGCUUAUUUAAAGAAUUUGGAUAGCAAGUGGGAUGGUAUGAUAUGAUUUGAAGAGUUAAGCUUCCGAAGUUUUAAUUCUCGGAAGUCAUUUGUAUAAGAAGAAAAAGAAGGUUUUCAUUCUAGCGGUCCGCAGUAGUCUAGAUAUUUUAACUAGAAUUUUGUAUAACGCGUUUUUAACUCUGAUAUUAUUUGUAAAUGGGGUCACAUGUAGUUUAAUAUAUGAAAUAUGUUUUGAUUUGCGAAAAAAAUUUACACAGGUUUUUAGGCUUGCUACGGGAUUUGGAGCUACCACUCCCAUUCCCUAGCGCCGGUCGCGGCUCAUAAAUUUGGGUCGUGA